GAGAGGACCGGAGUGGACGCAUCACUGGUGUUCGGGUUGUCAUGCCAAUGGCACUGCCCGGUAGCUAAAUGCGGAAGAGAUAAGUGCUGAAAGCAUCUAAGCACGAAACUUGCCCCGAGAUGAGUUCUCCCUGACUCCUUGAGAGUCCUGAAGGAACGUUGAAGACGACGACGUUGAUAGGUCGGGUGUGUAAGCGCAGCGAUGCGUUGAGCUAACCGAUACUAAUGAACCGUGAGGCUUAACCUUACAACGCCGAAG
Molecule: ribosomal RNA, 258 nt
Filed under: Enterobacter cloacae
Lineage: Bacteria; Pseudomonadati; Pseudomonadota; Gammaproteobacteria; Enterobacterales; Enterobacteriaceae
Description: partial 23S ribosomal RNA
Rfam family: Bacterial large subunit ribosomal RNA
Source: RNAcentral